This is a long non-coding RNA of Canis lupus familiaris (dog), 2429 nucleotides long. RefSeq lists it as uncharacterized. The record is from RefSeq and is a predicted model, not a curated record. The transcript has 3 exons. Lineage: Eukaryota; Metazoa; Chordata; Mammalia; Carnivora; Canidae.
UCUCCGGAAGGUUUGAGAAACUUCCUCAUUUGUUGCCUUGGCAAAGCCUGAGGUCUUCACACCAGCUUUCUUCACCCAAUAAUAGUCACACCUCCACAGGUCCAAGUCACCGGAGUGCUUCCCAUUUGUGACAUCAUUUCAGCUCAUAAUAGCAUCAUCUCGCUCACACCAAACUUUCAAGUAACCAGAAGGACACAGUUACGUCUCCUGCGUAAUUCUUUUCUCUGGGCCCCUGUCCCUUCAGCAACGGCAACGUGCGAAUUGAGCUGUAAAGUCACACUGAAUCCUCAUGCACGUACCUUAAUGCACCUAAGAGAUGUGACUGUGCCGGUCUGUCCCUUCCAGCCUGGUCACCUCAGUGGCCCUACCUUUCCAUCCUGCAUCUGGAGGACCUCAAAAAGAUUUCUCCUUCAAGUUUCUGAGUAAAAGGCAUGCCCUGUGGGGCGUCAAGGUGCCUGGUGAGCCCCCGUGUGCCUCGGGUCCAGCAGCACCUUCUGGACAACAUGCACCUGCAGCAUGAAGUCCAAGUCCUGAUGAGGAAACCGAGACUCAGAGGAGUCACAACAUUUUGCCCAGGAGUCCACUUGAAAGCACGAGGGCAGGAUUCAAAUGCAGGCCUGUAUGACUGUGGACACCCUACCUGUGACUUGCAAACUUCUCAUCAGUAGAUUUCCACCAUUGACACCAGACCUGCCAUUGCUAAGCUAUUCUUUUGCCAAGUCAGAUAUUAAAACAACAACAACGAUGACAAAACCAGCAGAAAAGCUUCAGAAAGUUGGCGCAGCAAGGAAGAUGUAACUUUAAGAGUGAAAGACACUCCUUCUUCAGAAAGGAUGGAUGCUGACCACAUGCAGACACUGGCUCUGGGCUGGUGAGGCUUCCCCGUGACUAAGCAUUUGGCAAUGACUAUACCGUGUUUGUGGAGGAUCGUUUAACCCACAUCACCAUACAAGGUCAAAUAACAUUCCUCAGCUUUCUGGGGAAUGACGUGAGCAGGGCCAUCUGUGGCUUAAGAGCCAACGUUGCAGGCUGUGUCAUUUAAGCCACACCCCUUGAUCAUGUGCUACAGACGGACACCCCCAGCUUCCCCCUAACACGAGACAGCGGCCGGAGGGGAAGCGUAAAAAUAGUCUGUGGGGGCACACCGUGAGAUGAAGGCUCUGAGAUGUGUGGAUGGCACGCUUGGGGCUUCUCCCCGCCCCCUCCCUGGUGGGAGGGCUUCUCUCCAGGGCAGCUGGCAGCACCAGGCCGGGAAGCUGGUCACCAGGAUGAGGGCAGGCACUUCCCCAUAGAGGAACCCUCGACCUCCCAAUGCCCCUUUCCUCAAUUCAAAGUCACUGCCACAAUGAGCUUCUCCCCUCUUCUGGGAAGCCCACCCUGAUUAAAUGUGGCAGAAUGAUGAGCCAAGCUGAUCCCUUCCCUGUGCUAAUCACUCAUGAACCCUCUUCUGAGUUUCUAGACUCCCUAUCAGAAAAGGAUGAAAACCCUGCUCCUGCUUCCGGGCAGCCUUCACUGACCUUCCCCUCUUCCCCUCUCUCCUCCCUCACAGUUGGGUUGUGUGCCCCCUUCUGGGGCCCCCCACUGAAUCCUUCCCCACCUUACACCUGGACUGUGACCACAUGUGGGCCUAUCAGACUGUCUCAGGAGGGCAAGGGGCCCUGAGCCCUGCACACUGCCCAGCACAGACGACACACUAACCACGGGGAGUCCACACAUAUGUUUGACAGGAGGGUGUCAGCAACCCCCGCAGGCUUGAUCUCCCACCUGGACAAAUGCGUGGCACUGUGGAGCUUCUCUCCUACCAGUCCGGAUUGAACUAGAUCAUCAUUUCUCAGACCCCUACUACAUGAGAAUGUCCAGAGGUGAGGUGCAGAAACUGUAUGUUUUAGAAUCAGCCAGACCGUGAGGCCACCAGCUAUGUACUCCAAGGUAGCUUUAUACUUCCGGGACCCUGGGGUCAGAGUCGGGGUACUGCUGGGCCCACUUAGGAACUGAUUAAGACAAUGAACAAUCCUGUCCUACCCACACCCCUGUCUGUGCCCAGUGUGUUCUUCUCUGGAAGCUCCUGAGCUUCCCAUCCCCGGAGACAGGCCCUGGCAGGUGCUGCCACCAUAGUCACUCACCCUGGACAGAGCCCGACUGGCCAGCAUCUCAAAGGCUUGUACCACAUUGAUGUCGUUCUUGGCACUGACUUCAAAGUAGGGAAUAUCCUUCUCUUUACACCAGCCUUGAGCUACCUCCUGAGGCACCUGAAUGAAAGGAAGACUGUCCCUGAAUCAUUGCUGCUACCAUCCCCACCCUCAUCAUAUUGCCCACUGUCACCUCCCACCAUCCCCACCAGUACUCCCAUUUAUCAAGAACCUUCCAUGUGUUACACACAUUCUUUCUUUCUUGUUUUUUUUUUUUUUAAGAUUUUAUUUAUAUAUUCA